UGGGGAAUAUUGCACAAUGGGCGGAAGCCUGAUGCAGCGACGCCGCGUGAGGGAUGACGGCCUUCGGGUUGUAAACCUCUUUCAGCACCGACGAAGUGGUGGGAUGUUUCCUGUCGUGACGGUAGGUGCAGAAGAAGCGCCGGCCAACUACGUGCCAGCAGCCGCGGUAAGACGUAGGGCGCGAGCGUUGUCCGGAUUUAUUGGGCGUAAAGAGCUCGUAGGCGGCUUGUCGCGUCGUUCGUGAAAACCUGCAGCUCAACUGCAGGCUUGCGGUCGAUACGGGCAGGCUGGAGUUCGGUAGGGGAGACUGGAAUUCCUGGUGUAGCGGUGAAAUGCGCAGAUAUCAGGAGGAACACCGGUGGCGAAGGCGGGUCUCUGGGCCGAUACUGACGCUGAGGAGCGAAAGCGUGGGGAGCGAACAG
This 422-nucleotide ribosomal RNA is filed under the name uncultured bacterium. RNAcentral's name for it is "bacterial SSU rRNA". It matches the Rfam family "Bacterial small subunit ribosomal RNA", at positions 355 to 775 of the family's 1533-position model. The record is from RNAcentral.